AGCAGCCGCGGUAAUUCCAGCUCCAAUAGCGUAUAUUAAAGUUGUUGCAGUUAAAAAGCUCGUAGUUGAAUUUCGGAAUCAAUUUGUAGGUCGUGCCUCGGUACGUACUGGUAUUAUUGGUUUCUACCUUCUGAAGAACCUUGAUGUCAUUAAUUUGGUGUCUUGGGGAAUCAGGACUGUUACUUUGAAAAAAUUAGAGUGUUUAAAGCAAGCAUACGCUUGAAUACAUUAGCAUGGAAUAAUGAAAUAGGACGUUUGAUUCUAUUUUGUUGGUUUCUAGGAUCGACGUAAUGAUUAAUAGGGAUAGUUGGGGGCAUUAGUAUUCAAUUGUCAGAGGUGAAAUUCUUGGAUUUAUUGAAGACUAACUACUGCGAAAGCAUUUGCCAAGGAUGUUUUCAUUAAUCAAGAACGAAAGUUAGGGGAUCGAAGACGAUCAGAUACCGUCGUAGU
RNAcentral lists this ribosomal RNA (450 nucleotides) under uncultured Glomeromycotina. Its description in RNAcentral is "SSU rRNA". It matches the Rfam family "Eukaryotic small subunit ribosomal RNA", at positions 569 to 1024 of the family's 1831-position model. The record is from RNAcentral. Lineage: Eukaryota; Fungi; Glomeromycota.